RNAcentral lists this ribosomal RNA (370 nucleotides) under uncultured eukaryote. RNAcentral describes it as "partial 18S ribosomal RNA". It matches the Rfam family "Eukaryotic small subunit ribosomal RNA", at positions 592 to 976 of the family's 1831-position model. The record is from RNAcentral.
CAAUAGCGUAUAUUAAAGUUGUUGCAGUUAAAAAGCUCGUAGUUGGAUUUCUGGUCGGAAGCUCCUGUCCUCUGAUGAGCGUACAAGUGCGUCCUACCAUCCUUCUGUUAGCCUUUAAGGCUUUCGCGGCUUUCUAGGGGCUCAGAUAUUUUACCUUGAGAAAAUUAGAGUGUUUCAGGCAGGCUAGCGCCGGAAUACAUUAGCAUGGAAUAAUGGAAUAGGACUUUUGCCUCUUCUGUUGGUCAUGAGGCUCGAGUAAUGAUUAAUAGGGAUAGUUGGGGGCAUUAGUACUUAACUGUCAGAGGUGAAAUUCUCGGAUUUGUUAAAGACUAACUUAUGCGAAAGCAUUUGCCAAGGAUGUUUNCAUUAA